CCCAAUCCCAUACCAUUUACUAGCAAUGUUUACAGCGAGCGUUUUCUAACCCCCACAUCUGUACCAUCUAUCCCACAUGCAAAUAAUACUACCACAUAUCAACUUGCUCAUGUCGAAAGUGCACCAGGAUGCCAUGCCAUGCCAUGCCAAUGCGCGCUACUCUGCGCUAUCCUGCUCCAGUACUUACCAGCCAUCUACCCUUUGCAGUACCAAAGUGGGGGAGAUUGAAAUUUCGCUAAGGAAAGUCGGGUAGACCCCCAUGCAGCAAUGAAGUGGCAUACCUUUUCCCGCUAAAGUCAUGUACGGUAUCCCGCUAGAGAUACGUAAGGUUACACAGUAAAAUUAGUCAGCACUCGAUACGGGUAAAAAGAUGAAAUAAAAACAUUUAACGUACAUUAGAUACGACUGCAUUCACCAAUCACAAGUCCAUAAAAUAGAUGAAUGAAAAUGCCGGAGGAAGCCGAGAGAGUAACAAUUUUUGCUUAAGCGUUAUAGCGGUGGCUUAGCCCAAGCUGAUAUGUCAUUUUGAGUCAUGAACGUACAGCGAAUCACUAGCUAUGAGCGGAUUGACUUUUUACAUUUGCGAAGCAUCGCCAACGGUUAAUAUGUGUUGAUGUAGCAAUCGAUGGUAACCAAACGUACAUAAGCUUUAAAAAAAAUUUCCUUUUUCAAAUCCCACAUGCGCUGUGAAAUCGGCAAUAACAAUAGAUUCAAUGGUUUCAAUAUUGUUUUUUGUACGUACAUAACAAAAGGAGGGGAGAGAGUAAUGAGAGACGCAAUAUUGUAUAGAAUCACAUGUUCUUCUAUAUUUGAUGUAAACAACUGCAACCCUGAGCUUUUGAGCUCAUUACGACACCGUAUGAAGUAUUGUAGUUGUUUUUAGCACUCGGAAUGGGAAACGCAAGAAACCCACCACCAAACCAUUACUAUGCAAGAGAUGGCAGUACGGAGACGGGUGAAGGAAAGAGCGAGUAGAUCGUGUUGCUGAAAAGGCCGACACAUCCUUUCAACGCCGACCAUUGUUUCUAUUUUCACACAAAAAAAAUAAAUCCAAUCCGUGAAAUUAAUAAAAAGCAUAGAGGAAAAACGGGUUGUAUACUGAGAGCUGUCAAACCGAUAUGGCGACACGGCUAAAUAGGAAUUUCGGCGAUUUGGCCCUUAAGAGCAGGACUAGAUAAGUAACCGAGCUAUGAAAAUAGUAAAACUUAGCUCACCUUACAUUUGUUGCCAGGCAAACGGUGAACCUUCUUCUAUCUUAUUGCUGAAUUCUCGUCAUUCUGGCUAGACAUUGUGGGCACGCACGAGCGAAGAUCUGUCACGAGGUUAGUUAGGAUAACCGGCUCUACCGGGUUACUGUGGUUGUAGCCGGACAACCGUAAUUAUUUGUUGAGUGCUAGACAACGAAUGAGAUUAGAUUGUAUAAGAAGGAAACGAGCAAAAAAAGAUGAGGGUAAUAAAAAUUUUAUUUUUCUUUUGUAAUAACAACAAAUCCAAAGGAAUAAGAUAAAAAGUGUAAAUAUCCAUUAUUUCUCUCCCAUUUCUCUUCUCUUCUCUUCCCUUCCCAUUUCAAAAGUCCACUUCCUUUCAUGUCGCAUCUACCCACUCAUCAACAAAGGAAAAAAGUUGCUUACUCAUUUUAGAUAACCUUUAUUUAUCGUUUAGUUCACGAUGAUGGGUGGAUGCCACAAAUGUUACGUAAAGUGCCAACUAGGUUGAAACCAGUCCCGGCUAAAUGGAAUCCCACCAGCUUCGUUAGCGUUAUUCCCCUUGAAUGAAGGGUGGAAAAUCCCUUAGGGAAAAGAUAUCUCAAUCUUUCGCAUAGAUACGAGACUAGCAUGAAUAACGUUGCUCUUGUUCUUCCACUUUACCCGAAUAUCACCUUCCCUUACCAUAAACAGGUCGUUUAAUUUCGCAAAUUUACUUUUUUUCAGUCCACCACCCUGAGGCCGCACCGUCGUUCCGAUUCCGUACGGUCCGCCAUUAAGAUUUAAGAGGUAGGUUGAAGAGGAAGGGCAGGGUGUUAUGCAAUCCAAUCCCUUGUACCGGGAAAGAAAAAAGAGUUGAGAGUUUGCUUGCGUAUCGACUUUUUGCCGCUUGAGGGUAAAAGCAGUGAAUGGUGGAAAAAUUCGUCAAUCAAGCAAUCAAGCGAAAAAAAAAAGAGAAAACCCACCCUGUCCAGCGAGCAAGCUUAUACAAAGGGAUGUUUGCUUUUGAACGGAAAAUGUGCGACAUUCAUUCCCUUUCCCUUGCUCUUUGCCAAUGUAAAGAAGACAUAUUUUUUUUCUCUACAAUUUGAAAAUGCGAGCAUAGUGAAAUGCUGAGAUGCAUUCUGAUUGCUCUUCAUCACCCAUUGUGGCUUGUGUCUAUGGGUAUGUUUUUUUUUUUUAUGUGUAUGUAUGUAUGUAUGUGUGUGUAUGGAUGAUGACGCUGUUUAGCAUGAGCAUGAAUACCUAUGGUUCGGCAAUUAUAACUCUUGACCGCACACACACGCACACCACUCACUUUCCAAGUAGAUAAUUACACUGCAGAAUUGUUGCUCUUCACUCCUCUCUGUCUGACUAGAAAUGCUUUUGGAAGGGGGAGAUGCGUCAACACGUGCCACCUCUGUUAGGGUAGUUUCCCCUUGCCUCUUUAGCCUGGCCGCCCUGAAAAGGUUUAUGUCUAGAUGUGCAUGUGGGAUGGACCUGUUUCGUUCGGUUGCGUGACCAAAGACCGCCUUCUCCUAUUGGCUAGGAAUCCUUUGAUUAGCUUGUUAAAGAAUUCGGGUUACUGGUUAUGAUGUCAUUAUUUGACUUUGAGUGCUUAAGGUAGCGCGGGUCCUCGCCAAUUUUUUUUUCGCAUCGACUUUGCCCCGCGAGAUACUUGUUGACUUUUUUUAAUAUAUUACUGUUGUCUUCCACCACAUUUCUCCCCUUACUUGAUGCCUAGACAGUGC
This 2935-nucleotide long non-coding RNA is filed under the name Schizosaccharomyces pombe (fission yeast). Lineage: Eukaryota; Fungi; Ascomycota; Schizosaccharomycetes; Schizosaccharomycetales; Schizosaccharomycetaceae. The record is from RNAcentral.